Antechinus flavipes (yellow-footed antechinus) is the source of this 458-nucleotide long non-coding RNA. RefSeq lists it as uncharacterized. The record is from RefSeq and is a predicted model, not a curated record. Lineage: Eukaryota; Metazoa; Chordata; Mammalia; Dasyuromorphia; Dasyuridae. The transcript is spliced from 3 exons.
UCCUUAUCGCACCAGAUGAACAAACAUCUACAGGAACGAAUGGACCACAAGAAGACAGCUUGGCAGAGAAGCUGGAUCCAGGGCCUGACCACAGUGGACAAGUGCCAAUCCCUGCAGGCAAAAAGACCUUCAUCAUGAUUGUGUGUGAUGCCAGAAAUCCUGGCCGCUGCAUGGACCUCCUUUUGCUUUGUUUUUCUGACUUCAUUAUUGGGCGUUACAUUGAAGUUAAUGUAGUAAGUGAAGAAGAAUUACUCAUAGCAGUCACAGAGCCAUUUUCUUGGAAAAAAUCUAAAGCUACCCAGGCUCUGACAUCACCCAAGACAACUGUGGUGGUGACAACACAGAAAAGGAAUCUAAGAAGACAGUUGCCAAGUUUCCUCCCACAAUAUCCCAUACCAGAUAGACUAAAAAGAUGUGUGGAACAACAGCUGGAUAUAUUAACUUUUCAACCAUUGCUU